RNAcentral lists this ribosomal RNA (501 nucleotides) under uncultured bacterium. RNAcentral describes it as "partial 16S ribosomal RNA". It matches the Rfam family "Bacterial small subunit ribosomal RNA", at positions 30 to 523 of the family's 1533-position model. The record is from RNAcentral.
AUUGAACGCUGGCGGCAGGCUUAACACAUGCAAGUCGAGCGGAGAUGAGGUGCUUGCACCUUAUCUUAGCGGCGGACGGGUGAGUAAUGCUUAGGAAUCUGCCUAUUAGUGGGGGACAACAUUCCGAAAGGAAUGCUAAUACCGCAUACGUCCUACGGGAGAAAGCAGGGGAUCUUCGGACCUUGCGCUAAUAGAUGAGCCUAAGUCGGAUUAGCUAGUUGGUGGGGUAAAGGCCUACCAAGGCGACGAUCUGUAGCGGGUCGGAGAGGAUGAUCCGCCACACUGGGACUGAGACACGGCCCAGACUCCUACGGGAGGCAGCAGUGGGGAAUAUUGGACAAUGGGGGGAACCCUGAUCCAGCCAUGCCGCGUGUGUGAAGAAGGCCCUAUGGUUGUAAAGCACUUUAAGCGAGGAGGAGGCUACUGAGACUAAUACUCUUGGAUAGAGGACGUUACUCGCAGAAUAAGCACCGGCUAACUCUGUGCCAGCCGCCGCCGUAA